CCGCAAUUCAACACUACGCUGGACGGACUGUUGGUGCAGUCGAUGCGGCGUGAACGGACACGAAGGAGCGCUCGCCUCAGAAGGGAUGUCACAAUUUCCUGAGACGGAGGCAUCUCUGCACCACAAAGGAGACUGCGGCACUAUGCAGCCUGAACAGCACGACAAAGCAUCUGAUCUGCCUGCUUUGACAAGAUGUGGCUGGGCCUGCAGAAAGAGUGUAAGCACACUACUGUGUUGCUGAUCAGUGCUGGUGCUGAUCUCUACGUCUGAGUUGGCCUCACAACGUCCAGGCGCCACUGUGCUUUGCUUCAUUGACAAGGUGUGGCUGGGCCUGCAGAAAAGCUGUAAGCAGACUGCAGUGUUGCUGAUCAGUGCUGAUCUCCACGUCCGAGUUGGUCCCACAAUAUCCAGGCACCACGGUGCUUUCACAAGAGGCAUACGAGCACUUUGUUUCAAAAACGCCAAGCACCGUGGAUACAGAGGC
RNAcentral lists this long non-coding RNA (484 nucleotides) under Dermacentor andersoni. Its description in RNAcentral is "uncharacterized LOC126527419". The record is from RNAcentral. Lineage: Eukaryota; Metazoa; Arthropoda; Arachnida; Ixodida; Ixodidae.